GCCGAUGGCAGAUUAGGUAGUUGGUGGGAUAAAGCUUACCAAGCCGACGAUCUGUAGCUGGUCUGAGAGGACGACCAGCCACACUGGGACUGAGACACGGCCCAGACUCCUACGGGAGGCAGCAGUGGGGAAUUUUGGACAAUGGGCGAAAGCCUGAUCCAGCAAUGCCGCGUGCAGGAUGAAGGCUUCGGGUUGUAAACNGCUUUUGUACGGAACGAAAAAGCUUCUCCUAAUACGAGAGGCCCAUGACGGUACCGUAAGAAUAAGCACCGGCUAACUACGUGCCAGCAGCCGCGGUAAUACGUAGGGUGCGAGCGUUAAUCGGAAUUACUGGGCGUAAAGCGUGCGCAGGCGGUUAUGUAAGACAGAUGUGAAAUCCCCGGGCUCAACCUGGGAACUGCAUUUGUGACUGCA
RNAcentral lists this ribosomal RNA (414 nucleotides) under Pseudomonas sp. Its description in RNAcentral is "bacterial SSU rRNA". It matches the Rfam family "Bacterial small subunit ribosomal RNA", at positions 229 to 637 of the family's 1533-position model. The record is from RNAcentral. Lineage: Bacteria; Pseudomonadati; Pseudomonadota; Gammaproteobacteria; Pseudomonadales; Pseudomonadaceae.